Molecule: ribosomal RNA, 433 nt
Filed under: uncultured bacterium
Lineage: Bacteria
Description: partial 16S ribosomal RNA
Rfam family: Bacterial small subunit ribosomal RNA
Source: RNAcentral
AACGAACGCUGGCGGCAUGCCUAACACAUGCAAGUCGAACGAGACCUUCGGGUCUAGUGGCGCACGGGUGCGUAACGCGUGGGAACCUGCCCUUAGGUUCGGAAUAACUCCCCGAAAGGGGUGCUAAUACCGGAUAAUGUCUUCGGACCAAAGAUUUAUCGCCUUUGGGGGGGCCCGCGUUGGAUUAGCUGGUUGGGACGGUAAAAGCAUACCAAGGCGACGAUCCAUAACUGGUCUGAGAGGAUGAUCAGCCACACUGGGACUGAGACCCGGCCCGGACUCCUACGGGAGGCAGCAGUGGGGAAUAUUGGACAAUGGGCGAAAGCAUGAUCCAGCAAUGCCGCGUGAGUGAUGAAGGUCUUAGGGUUGUAAAGCUCUUUUACCCGGGAUGAUAAUGACGGUACCGGGAGAAUAAGCUACGGCUAACUCCGUG